GUGCCAGCAGCCGCGGUAAUACGUAGGGGGCAAGCGUUGUCCGGAUUUACUGGGCGUAAAGCGCGCGUAGGCGGAAGUGUAAGUCUGGCCUGAAAGCCCCCGGCUCAACCGGGGAGGGCGGCUGGAAACUGUGCUUCUUGAGGGCGAUAGAGGAGAGUGGAAUUCCACGUGUAGCGGUGAAAUGCGUAGAUAUGUGGAGGAACACCAGUGGCGAAGGCGACUCUCUGGGCAGUAACUGACGCUGAGGCGCGAAAGCGUGGGGAGCAAACAGGAUUAGAUACCCUGGUAGUCC
RNAcentral lists this ribosomal RNA (292 nucleotides) under uncultured bacterium. RNAcentral describes it as "partial 16S ribosomal RNA". It matches the Rfam family "Bacterial small subunit ribosomal RNA", at positions 505 to 796 of the family's 1533-position model. The record is from RNAcentral.